Molecule: ribosomal RNA, 253 nt
Filed under: uncultured bacterium
Lineage: Bacteria
Description: partial 16S ribosomal RNA
Rfam family: Bacterial small subunit ribosomal RNA
Source: RNAcentral
UACGGGGGGGGCAAGCGUUGUUCGGAAUUACUGGGCGUAAAGGGCUCGUAGGCGGCCAACUAAGUCGGAUGUGAAAUCCCCAGGCUCAACCUGGGAACUGCAUCCGAUACUGGAUGGCUUGAAUCCGGGAGAGGGAUGCAGAAUUCCAGGUGUAGCGGUGAAAUGCGUAGAUAUCUGGAGGAAUACCGGUGGCGAAGGCGGCAUCCUGGACCGGCAUUGACGCUCAUGCACGAAAGCGUGGGGAGCAAACAGG